CCUACGGGAGGCUGCAGUCGAGAAUCAUUCACAAUGGGGGAAACCCUGAUGGUGCGACGCCGCGUGGGGGAAUGAAGGUCUUCGGAUUGUAAACCCCUGUCAUGUGGGAGCAAAUUAAAAAGAUCGUACCACACGAGGAAGAGACGGCUAACUCUGUGCCAGCAGCCGCGGUAAUACAGAGGUCUCAAGCGUUGUUCGGAAUCACUGGGCGUAAAGCGUGCGUAGGCUGUUUCGUAAGUCGUGUGUGAAAGGCGCGGGCUCAACCCGCGGACGGCACAUGAUACUGCGAGACUAGAGUAAUGGAGGGGGAACCGGAAUUCUCGGUGUAGCAGUGAAAUGCGUAGAUAUCGAGAGGAACACUCGGGGCGAAGGCGGGUUCCUGGACAUUAACUGACGCUGAGGCACGAAGGCCAGGGGAGCGAAAGGGAUUAGAUACCCGUGUAGUC
RNAcentral lists this ribosomal RNA (446 nucleotides) under uncultured bacterium. Its description in RNAcentral is "partial 16S ribosomal RNA". It matches the Rfam family "Bacterial small subunit ribosomal RNA", at positions 338 to 795 of the family's 1533-position model. The record is from RNAcentral.